This 342-nucleotide ribosomal RNA is filed under the name uncultured Pseudomonadota bacterium. RNAcentral's name for it is "bacterial SSU rRNA". It matches the Rfam family "Bacterial small subunit ribosomal RNA", at positions 29 to 351 of the family's 1533-position model. The record is from RNAcentral. Lineage: Bacteria; Pseudomonadati; Pseudomonadota.
AACAAACGCUGGCGGCGUGCCUAACACAUGCAAGUCGUACGAGAAAGUUGGCUUCGGCCGAUGAGUAAAGUGGCGCACGGGUGAGUAACGCGUGGAUAAUCUGCCCCUCAGUUGGGAAUAACUCAUCGAAAGGUGGGCUAAUACCGAAUAACGCUGUGAGUACUUUGGUCGAUCAGCCAAAGAGAGCCUCUGCUUGCAAGCCCUCGCUGAAGGAUGAGUCCGCGUACCAUUAGCUAGUUGGCAUGGUAAUGGCCUACCAAGGCGACGAUGGUUAGCUGGUCUGAGAGGAUGAUCAGCCACACUGGAACUGAGACACGGUCCAGACCUCCUACGGGGUGGCAG